Molecule: ribosomal RNA, 253 nt
Filed under: uncultured bacterium
Lineage: Bacteria
Description: partial 16S ribosomal RNA
Rfam family: Bacterial small subunit ribosomal RNA
Source: RNAcentral
UACGUAGGGGGCAAGCGUUAUCCGGAUUUACUGGGUGUAAAGGGAGCGUAGACGGCAGAGCAAGUCUGAAGUGAAAGCCCGCGGCCCAACUGCGGGACUGCUUUGGAAACUGCCCGGCUAGAGUGCUGGAGAGGUAAGCGGAAUUCCUAGCGUAGCGGUGAAAUGCGUAGAUAUUAGGAGGAACACCAGUGGCGAAGGCGGCUUACUGGACAGUAACUGACGUUGAGGCUCGAAAGCGUGGGGAGCAAACAGG